GUGCUUUAUUUGUCACUAUUCAUUGGCUUGAUAAACUUUUCAGGUGGCUGCUGCGCCCGUGGCGGAGGGCGUGUAUGCUGCGGGAGGCAGAUCCGGAUGGAGCUACUGAUGUGGGGGGAGGGAGGGCCUCCCGCCGUCCAUGCUCCUGAGGCCGGGGACGCGGAGCCGGCCAUGCUCCUGAGCGCCCCGGAGGUGCGGCGCCGGCCCGUCGAGCUGCUGCCGGCGUGGGCGUGGGCGCGGCGUCGGCUCGCGGGGCUGCUGCGGGCCGCAGGAAGACCUCGGCCGGCCUUGCAAAUGUGGGCACGGCCGCGCCUUCCGCCGGCCAUGCUGGUGCUGGCGGGGGCCGCCCGUCCUCUGCCCCACGCUGCCCGUGCCGCUGCUCGACCGCCUCCCUGUCGUUGCUCUUCCACUCCCAUGGUAGCGGAGGCAAGGAGGGAAUUUUGCGGGCGGCACAAGUUGAUUCGACUGCGCUGGAGUUCAUUCGCAUCCAGCAGGAAGUGAACCUGCAAAUUUACCAAUUAUGAGUUGGGCGCUUUAACCAUUCAGUCGCCGAUCUCAUUUGUAUGAACGAGGGCUACCCAUGCUACCCAUCCUCUGCUUCACCUCCCGGACAGGAGGCGAUACGGCCGGAGAUGUUUCUCAGCCGGGGUGGAGCUUGGUGGCACCACCACGCUCGCGAGCCGCGGCUGCGUUGCUCGCGGCUCUCGCCUGCACGCGGCGGCGGAGCUCGCGGCGGGCUGCAGCAGAAGCUUCUCCAGGAGUAGCAAACGGUGGAGACACCGCCAUGGCGCGUCCUCGUCACUCAAUUGUUCUUGCUUCUUGCUUGUGGAUGCUGCGGCGGUGGAUGCCACAUUCUUUUCCCGCGGUCCGCGGAUAAGGUAGGAGCGGACCGAAGCUGUGCCUAAAUCGAGCUCAUCAUCAAACAUGAGAGCAGGCAAGAGGAUGGGGUUUGGGCAUUGGCGGCUCUGACGCACCUCUGAUUUUUUUUUCCGAGGCAACUCCUCUGAAUUGAAGUAGCAUCUGGGACGGGGAAUCCAUCUUCUCCUAUUCGUUUUCUUUCUACUUUUUUUUUGUCACAAUUUGGAUGUAUGUGUGAACUAUAAUGUGUGAACCUUGUCUAUUUGGGAUCCUAAUGUAUUUUUCUUUUUGAACGCAA
Long non-coding RNA from Panicum hallii, 1156 nucleotides. RefSeq lists it as uncharacterized. The record is from RefSeq and is a predicted model, not a curated record. NCBI's taxonomy places the organism in Eukaryota, Viridiplantae, Streptophyta, Magnoliopsida, Poales, Poaceae. The transcript is spliced from 2 exons.